This 310-nucleotide long non-coding RNA is filed under the name Androctonus crassicauda. Lineage: Eukaryota; Metazoa; Arthropoda; Arachnida; Scorpiones; Buthidae. The record is from RNAcentral.
UCUGGAGAUUGGCAUCGUGAACACAGCUCAGCGUCAUUCUGGAGAUGUUCUCCCAGCCACCUGAGCUCUCCUGAGCCACACCCCAAGUCUGGUGUGAGGAGAGGCCUCUGUUCUUCACAGAGGUGCCUGGCUUCCUGUGCAGCACACUGGGUCCAGGACAGGAGGCCACCCCCAACCAAGCCUCACCUGUGUGCCUUUAUGAGGCGUCGGGAGAAAGCCACCCUCCUGUGUAUUCUGCUUUCUCCAUGAGAUUUUGCCAUGUCACACUUUUGUAUAUUCCUAGACUAAUAAAUGGAAACAAGAACAGCAG